RNAcentral lists this ribosomal RNA (253 nucleotides) under uncultured prokaryote. RNAcentral describes it as "partial 16S ribosomal RNA". It matches the Rfam family "Bacterial small subunit ribosomal RNA", at positions 525 to 777 of the family's 1533-position model. The record is from RNAcentral.
ACGGGGGGGGCAAGCGUUGUUCGGAAUUACUGGGCGUAAAGGGUUCGUAGGUGGCUCGCUAAGUCACACGUGAAAUCCCUCAGCUUAACUGGGGAACUGCGUGUGAGACUGGCAAGCUCGAGUGCAGGAGAGGAGUGCGGAAUUCCAGGUGUAGCGGUGAAAUGCGUAGAUAUCUGGAGGAACACCGGUGGCGAAGGCGGCAUUCUGGACCGACAUUGACGCUGAACGGCGAAAGCUAGGGGAGCAAACGGGA